GACGAACGCUGGCGGCGUGCUUAACACAUGCAAGUCGAACGGAAAGGCCCUGCUUUUGUGGGGUGCUCGAGUGGCGAACGGGUGAGUAACACGUGAGUAACCUGCCCCUGUCUUUGGGAUAACUUCAGGAAACUGGGGCUAAUACCGGAUAGGAGCUCCUGCUGCAUGGUGGGGGUUGGAUAGUUUCGGCGGUUGGGGAUGGACUCGCGGCUUAUCAGCUUGUUGGUGGGGUAGUGGCUUACCAAGGCUUUGACGGGUAGCCGGCCUGAGAGGGUGACCGGCCACAUUGGGACUGAGAUACGGCCCAGACUCCUACGGGAGGCAGCAGUGGGGAGUAUUACACAGUGGGCGGAAGCCUGAUGCAGCAACGCCGCGUGCGGGAUGACGGGCUUCGGGUUGUAAACCGCUGUCGCCUGUGACGAGGCGUGAGUGACGGUAAUGGGUAAAGAAGCACCGGCUAACUACGUG
RNAcentral lists this ribosomal RNA (468 nucleotides) under uncultured bacterium. Its description in RNAcentral is "partial 16S ribosomal RNA". It matches the Rfam family "Bacterial small subunit ribosomal RNA", at positions 28 to 507 of the family's 1533-position model. The record is from RNAcentral.